Molecule: ribosomal RNA, 467 nt
Filed under: uncultured bacterium
Lineage: Bacteria
Description: partial 16S ribosomal RNA
Rfam family: Bacterial small subunit ribosomal RNA
Source: RNAcentral
GACGAACGCUGGCGGCGUGCUUAACACAUGCAAGUCGAACGGAAAGGCUCCAGUUUGCUGGAGUACUCGAGUGGCGAACGGGUGAGUAACACGUGGGUAAUCUGCCCUGUACUCUGGGAUAAGCGUGAGAAACUGGGUCUACUACUGGAUAUGACCGUUCUCCUUAUGGGGUUUGGUGGAAAGUUUUUCGGGGUAGGAUGAUCCCUCGGCCUAUCAGCUUGUUGGUGGGGUGAUGGCAUACGAAGGCGACGACGGGUAGCCGGCCUGAGAGGGUGAUCGGCCACAUUGGGACUGAGCUACGGCCCAGCAUCCUACGGGAGGCAGCCGUGGGGAAUAUUGCACAAUGGGAGGAAGCCUGAUGCAGCGACGCCGCGUGAGGGAUGACGGCCUUCGGGUUGUAAACCUCUUUCAGCAGGGACGAAGCGUAAGUGACGGUACCUGCAGAAGAAGCACCGGCUAACUACGUG